RNAcentral lists this ribosomal RNA (277 nucleotides) under uncultured bacterium. Its description in RNAcentral is "partial 16S ribosomal RNA". It matches the Rfam family "Bacterial small subunit ribosomal RNA", at positions 32 to 323 of the family's 1533-position model. The record is from RNAcentral.
AAUCAACGCUGGCGGCGCGCCUAACACAUGCAAGUCGAACGAGAAAGCCGCAAGGUGAGUAAAGUGGCGUACGGGUGAGUAACACGUGGAUUAUCUACCCUCUAGUGGGGAAUACCGCUGGGAAACCGGUGACAAUACCGCAUAAGCUCGAGAGAGGAAAGCAGCAAUGCGCUGGAGGAGGAGUCCGCGGUCGAUUAGUUAGUUGGCAGGGUAAAAGCCUACCAAGACCGUGAUCGAUAGCCGGCCUGAGAGGGCACACGGCCACACUGGCACUGAA